Molecule: long non-coding RNA, 2216 nt
Filed under: Marmota monax (woodchuck)
Lineage: Eukaryota; Metazoa; Chordata; Mammalia; Rodentia; Sciuridae
Source: RNAcentral
CAAACAUACAAAUAUACAUUUAUUAUACAAAUAUACAUCUCUAUACAAAUUUUUUAAACAUGUAGAGCCACUCCAUAAAUAACAUAAUGAAAUAGGAAAAUGGUAACUCAAUGCAUUCCAACUUGGAUUAAUAUUAAUGAAACUAGCAACUGCAUUAAUGAAAGACAGGAAUUGGAAAUUUAAAAAUUUGUAGGAAUGGACAGUUGGAAGAUGUAUAACAGGACCUGCAUGAAUUCAGGAAUGACACUGAAACAGGUAAACAUCUCAUAAAUUAACAAUUAUAACAGGCCCAAGGGAAAAUAGAUAUACUAGAAGUACAUAUUGAAGAAAGAGGAUAAGAAAANAUAUAUGCAAAUCAAUAAAUGUAUUUAUCACAUUAACAGAACCGAGGACAAAAAUCACUUACUAACCUCAAUAGAUGCAGAGAAGGCCUCAACAAAAUUCAGCACCAAUUCAUGAUUAAAAACACUGAAGAAACUAAGGAUAGAAGACACCUCAACAUCAUAAAGGACAUAUCUGAAAAACUCAGAGCCAACCUCAUAGUAAAUGAGGAAAAACUUAAAGCAUUUCCUUUAAAAGCUGGAAUAAGAUAAGGACCUCCACUCUCACUACAAUUUAGUGUAGUGUUAGAAAUUCUAGCCAGAUCAACUGGGAAAGAGAAGGAAAUAAAAGGGAUUAAAAAUAGAAAGGAAAAAGUCAAAUUAUCACUGUUUGCAGAUGAUAUGAUCCUAUAUCUAGAAGAUACAAAAAAAACUACACCAAAAGAAUGCUAGAGCUAAUAAUCAAAUUUGGCAAAGUAGCAGGUUACAAAAUCAACAUACAAAAAAAAUCUACACCUUUUCUAUAUACCAACAAUUAAUUAGCUGAUAAAAAAGUUAGGAAAACAAUUCCAUUCACAAUAGCCUCAGAAAAGAAAUAUACUGAGGAAUAAAUCUAACCAAGGAGGUGAAAGGCCUCUACAAUUAAAAGUGUAUAACAUUGAAGAGAGACAUCAAAGACAGCCUCAGAAGAUGGAAAGACCUCCCAUGUUCAUGGAUAGGCAGAAUUAAUGUUGUUAAAAUGGCUAUACUACCAAAAACAAGAUACAGAUUCAAUAAAAUUUCCAUCAAAAUACCAAUGAUAUUCCUCACUGAACUAGAAAAACAGUCCUAAAAUUCACUUGGAAGAAUAAAAGACCAGAAUAGCCAAAGUGAUUUUAAGCCAAAAAAGCAUUGUUGGAGACAUCACAAUACCUUUUCUCAAGUUAUACUACAAAGUUAUAGUAACAAAAACUGCAUGGCACUGGCAUAAAAACAGACACAUAGACCAAUGGUAUAGAAUAGAAGACACUAAACAAACCCAAACAGAUCCAGCCAGCUGAUCCUUGACAAAGGGGCCAAAAACAUACAUGGAAGAAAAGACAGCCUUUUAAACAAAUGGUGCUGGCACAACAAUGUAGGAGAAUGACACUAGACCUUUAUCUCUCACCCUGCAUAAAAAUUAACUCAAAAUGUGAGUUCAUUUCACACCAGUGAGAAUGGCAGUCUUCAAGAAUACAAAUAAUAAUAAAUGCUGCAGAGAAUGCAGAGAAAAAGGAACAUUUUUACACUGUUGAUUCAUUGGACUGUAAAUUAGUACAACCACUAUGGAAAUCAAUAUGGAGGCUCCACAAGAGACUAGGCAUGGAACCACCAUAUGAUCCAGCUAUACCUCUCUUCAGUAUUUACCAUGAAGAAUUAAAGUCAUCAUACUUCAGUGAUAACAUGCAUAACAAUGUUUAUAGCAGCACAAUUCACAAUAACCAAACUAUGGAAACAAACUAGGUGUCCAUCAAUGGAUGAAUGGAUAAAUAAAAUGUGGUAUAUGUACACAAUGGAGUUUUAUUCAGUCAUAAAAAAAUGGAAAUGUUGUUUUCAGGAAAAUACAUGGAAAUAGAGACCAUUGUGUUAAGUGAAAUAAGACCAAUUCAAAAGUUUAAGGGGUUGUAUGUUUUCUCUCAUAUGUGGAAGAUAGAGAAGAAAAAGGAUAACUAAGGAGGGGUGGAUCUCCUAAAAAUCAAAGCGAGAUCCUUACUGAGAGGUAAGGGACAAAAGAGUAGGAUAUUGAUCAAAUUAUAUUGUUAUAUUGUGUGCAUGUGUGAAUAUGUAAUAGUAAAUCCCAUGAAUAUGCAGAACUAUAAUGUAUCAAUAAAAGAAUAUGAGAAAAAAGAAUACUAGAAAUUUUUAAAAACUUCAUGA